GAAGGCUGAGGUGUGCGCCUUUUUUUUUUUUCCUUCUUAGUCGUGUGUACAUCAUUGGGAAUGGAGGGAAAUAAAUGACUGGAUGGUCGCUGCUUUUUAAGUUUCAAAUUGACACUCUAGGCAAGCGGUGCCUGAGCCCGUGCCUGUCUUCAGAUCUUCACAGCACAGUUCCUGGGAAGGUGGAGCCACCAGCCUCUCCCUGAAUAACUGGGAGAUGAAACAGGAAGCUCUAUGACACACUUGAUCGAAUAUGACAGACACCGAAAAUCACGACUCAGCCCCCUCCAGCACCUCUACCUGUUGCCCGCCGAUCACAGCCAGAAUGCAGCUGAAAGAUUCCCUGGGGCCUGGUUCCAACCGCCCGCUGUGGACUCUGAGGCCUCUGCAUUUGCGGGUGGUCUGCCUGUGAUAUUUUGGUCAUGGUCUGGUCAGGUCGGUUUCCCAUUUGUCUGGCCAGUCUCUAUGUGUCUUAAUCCCUUGUCCUUCAUUAAAAGCAAAACUAAAGAAAACAGAA
RNAcentral lists this long non-coding RNA (514 nucleotides) under Pongo abelii (Sumatran orangutan). RNAcentral's name for it is "lincRNA". The record is from RNAcentral. Lineage: Eukaryota; Metazoa; Chordata; Mammalia; Primates; Hominidae.